UGGGGAAUAUUGGACAAUGGGCGCAAGUCUGAUCCAGCCAUGCCGCGUGAGUGACGAAGGUCUUCGGAUUGUAAAGCUCUUUUUACCAGGGACGAUAAUGACGGUACCUGGAGAAUAAGCCCCGGCAAACUACGUGCCAGCAGCCGCGGUAAUACGUAGGGACCAAGCGUUGUUCGGAUUUACUGGGCGCAAAGGGCGCGUAGGCGGCAUGACAAGUCACUUGUGAAAUCUCUGGGCUUAACCCAGAACGGCCAAGUGAUACUGUCGCGCUAGAGUGCAGAAGGGGCAAUCGGAAUUCUUGGUGUAGCGGUGAAAUGCGUAGAUAUCAAGAGGAACACCUGAGGUGAAGACGGGUUGCUGGGCUGACACUGACGCUGAGGCGCGAAAGCCAGGGGAGCAAACGGGAUUAGAUACCCGUGUAGUCCCUGAGCGGGCUGGCAAGGCGCAU
This 448-nucleotide ribosomal RNA is filed under the name uncultured bacterium. RNAcentral describes it as "bacterial SSU rRNA". It matches the Rfam family "Bacterial small subunit ribosomal RNA", at positions 355 to 825 of the family's 1533-position model. The record is from RNAcentral.